UGGGGAAUAUUGCACAAUGGGCGAAAGCCUGAUGCAGCAACGCCGCGUGAGGGAAGACGGUCUUCGGAUUGUAAACCUUUGUCCUUGGUGACGAAAAGAAUGACGGUAGCCGAGGAGGAAGCCACGGCUAACUACGUGCCAGCAGCCGCGGUAAUACGGAGGAUGCGAGCGUUAUCCGGAUUUAUUGGGUUUAAAGGGUGCGCAGGCGGCGCGCCAAGUCAGCGGUCAAGGUUCCGGGCUCAACCCGGUGUCGCCGUUGAAACUGGCGUGCUCGAGUGCGUGCGAGGAAGGCGGAAUGCGUUGUGUAGCGGUGAAAUGCAUAGAUAUGACGCAGAACUCCGAUUGCGAAGGCAGCUUUCCAGCGCGCUACUGACGCUGAGGCACGAAAGCGUGGGGAUCGAACAGGAUUAGAUACCCUGGUAGU
Molecule: ribosomal RNA, 424 nt
Filed under: uncultured Barnesiella sp.
Lineage: Bacteria; Pseudomonadati; Bacteroidota; Bacteroidia; Bacteroidales; Barnesiellaceae
Description: bacterial SSU rRNA
Rfam family: Bacterial small subunit ribosomal RNA
Source: RNAcentral